This 467-nucleotide ribosomal RNA is filed under the name uncultured bacterium. RNAcentral's name for it is "partial 16S ribosomal RNA". It matches the Rfam family "Bacterial small subunit ribosomal RNA", at positions 28 to 507 of the family's 1533-position model. The record is from RNAcentral.
GACGAACGCUGGCGGCGUGCUUAACACAUGCAAGUCGAACGGAAAGGCUCCAGCUUGCUGGAGUACUCGAGUGGCGAACGGGUGAGUAACACGUGGGUAAUCUGCCCUGCACUCUGGGAUAAGCCUGGGAAACUGGGUCUAAUACUGGAUAUGACCUUUCUCCUUAUGGGGUUUGGUGGAAAGUUUUUCGGUGUAGGAUGAGCCCGCGGCCUAUCAGCUUGUUGGUGGGGUGAUGGCCUACCAAGGCGACGACGGGUAGCCGGCCUGAGAGGGUGAUCGGCCACAUUGGGACUGCGAUACGGCCCAGACUCCUACGGGAGGCAGCAGUGGGGAAUAUUGCACAAUGGGCGGAAGCCUGAUGCAGCGACGCCGCGUGAGGGAUGACGGCCUUCGGGUUGUAAACCUCUUUCAGCAGGGACGAAGCGUAAGUGACGGUACCUGCAGAAGAAGCACCGGCUAACUACGUG